Molecule: ribosomal RNA, 446 nt
Filed under: uncultured bacterium
Lineage: Bacteria
Description: partial 16S ribosomal RNA
Rfam family: Bacterial small subunit ribosomal RNA
Source: RNAcentral
AACGAACGCUGGCGGCAGGCUUAACACAUGCAAGUCGAGCGCCCCGCAAGGGGAGCGGCAGACGGGUGAGUAACGCGUGGGAAUCUACCCAUCCCUACGGAAUAGCUCCGGGAAACUGGAAUUAAUACCGUAUACGCCCUACGGGGGAAAGAUUUAUCGGGGAUGGAUGAGCCCGCGUUGGAUAGCUAGUUGGUGGGGUAAAGGCCUACCAAGGCGACGAUCCAUAGCUGGUCUGAGAGGAUGAUCAGCCACAUUGGGACUGAGACACGGCCCAAACUCCUGCGGGAGGCAGCAGUGGGGAAUAUUGGACAAUGGGGGCAACCCUGAUCCAGCCAUGCCGCGUGAGUGAUGAAGGCCUUAGGGUUGUAAAGCUCUUUCACCGGGGAAGAUAAUGACGGUACCCGGAGAAGAAGCCCCGGCUAACUUCGUGCCAGCCGCCGCAGUAA